UGCCCCAUGGCUGAGUUGGUUACAGCGUCCGACUGUUAUAGUCCUGCAAAGACUAAUGCGAAAUCGGAAGGUCGUGAGUUCGAGCCUCACUGGGGCAG
Non-coding RNA from Cubamyces sp. BRFM 1775, 98 nucleotides. NCBI's taxonomy places the organism in Eukaryota, Fungi, Basidiomycota, Agaricomycetes, Polyporales, Polyporaceae. The record is from the annotation of a GenBank genome assembly.